Pelobates cultripes (western spadefoot toad) is the source of this 88-nucleotide non-coding RNA. The record is from the annotation of a GenBank genome assembly. Lineage: Eukaryota; Metazoa; Chordata; Amphibia; Anura; Pelobatidae.
CCGGCUCCCUCACGCGUACUGAUGCCGGAGCAGGGAAUAUGACGUCAUUCCGGCUCCGGCAUCAGCGUGGUGUGCGCAAGGGAGCUGU